This 780-nucleotide ribosomal RNA is filed under the name Bacillus sp. (in: firmicutes). Its description in RNAcentral is "bacterial SSU rRNA". It matches the Rfam family "Bacterial small subunit ribosomal RNA", at positions 56 to 819 of the family's 1533-position model. The record is from RNAcentral. Lineage: Bacteria; Bacillati; Bacillota; Bacilli; Caryophanales; Bacillaceae.
UGCAAGUCGAGCGGACAGAUGGGAGCUUGCUCCCUGAUGUUAGCGGCGGACGGGUGAGUAACACGUGGGUAACCUGCCUGUAAGACUGGGAUAACUCCGGGAAACCGGGGCUAAUACCGGAUGGUUGUUUGAACCGCAUGGUUCAAACAUAAAAGGUGGCUUCGGCUACCACUUACAGAUGGACCCGCGGCGCAUUAGCUAGUUGGUGAGGUAAUGGCUCACCAAGGCAACGAUGCGUAGCCGACCUGAGAGGGUGAUCGGCCACACUGGGACUGAGACACGGCCCAGACUCCUACGGGAGGCAGCAGUAGGGAAUCUUCCGCAAUGGACGAAAGUCUGACGGAGCAACGCCGCGUGAGUGAUGAAGGUUUUCGGAUCGUAAAGCUCUGUUGUUAGGGAAGAACAAGUACCGUUCGAAUAGGGCGGUACCUUGACGGUACCUAACCAGAAAGCCACGGCUAACUACGUGCCAGCAGCCGCGGUAAUACGUAGGUGGCAAGCGUUGUCCGGAAUUAUUGGGCGUAAAGGGCUCGCAGGCGGUUUCUUAAGUCUGAUGUGAAAGCCCCCGGCUCAACCGGGGAGGGUCAUUGGAAACUGGGGAACUUGAGUGCAGAAGAGGAGAGUGGAAUUCCACGUGUAGCGGUGAAAUGCGUAGAGAUGUGGAGGAACACCAGUGGCGAAGGCGACUCUCUGGUCUGUAACUGACGCUGAGGAGCGAAAGCGUGGGGAGCGAACAGGAUUAGAUACCCUGGUAGUCCACGCCGUAACGAUGAGUGCUAA